This 415-nucleotide ribosomal RNA is filed under the name uncultured bacterium. Its description in RNAcentral is "bacterial SSU rRNA". It matches the Rfam family "Bacterial small subunit ribosomal RNA", at positions 28 to 483 of the family's 1533-position model. The record is from RNAcentral.
GAUAAACGCUGGCGGCGUGCCUAACACAUGCAAGUCGAACGAUCCCGCAAGGGAGAGUGGCGGAAGGGUGAGUAACACGUGGGAAUCUACCUCCUCGCAGGGAACAACCUCUCGAAAGAGAGGCUAAUACCCAAAAGGGUCAGAAAUGAUCAGAGUCGAAAGGCGUGAGGAGAGGAGCCCGCGGCCCAUCAGCUAGUUGGUGAGGUAAUGGCUUACCAAGGCUACGACGGGUAGGGGAUCUGAGAGGAUGUCCCCCACACUGGAACUGAAACACGGUCCAGACGCCUACGGGUGGCAGCAGUGAGGAAUAUUGGACAAUGGGCGAAAGCCCGAUCCAGCAACGCCGCGUGGAGGAUGAAGGCCCUUCGGGUCGGUAAACUUCUUUAGAGGGAGACGAGAAAGGACGGUAUCCCUA